GGCCAUCGAGUUCCUCUCCCUUCCGAUGUGGAUGAAUGAACUGAUUCCUACAACUUCAGCGAGAAGAAUCAUCUCCUCAAUGAAAAUGGAAACUGCUCUUAGUUACAGAUGUUGAUGAAGUUCCCUGUGCAGUGAACCACCUAGCACCAACGUCGAUCUUCCAUUAUUUCAGGGGUGGAGGGGCUAGGCUGCUUUGGCCAAUAUAAUUCUCCUUCACACUCUGAUUAGGGAUAGUUCCUCUUUGCUUUCUAGUUUCUCCUUUCUCUUACUCUUUUUAAAAGCUAUCUUUCUCGAGUUAGAUCAUGCUGUUCUCUGUUUUAGAUGUUCAAUCUGCGAGAAGUUGCUGUUAAAUUAUUUGUAGGUGCUAAUGAUGUGCCAAUGAUCCAUGAGGCAGAUGUCGGCGUUGGUAUCAAAUGGUCGGUAGGGUCGGCAACUGGCAAGCUAUCAUGGCAUCAAAUCGGAUUUUUCCAUAGGGCAAUUUAGAUUUUUGGUUCCUCUUCCAUCGGUCCAUUGACAUUGGAAUUACCAGCGGAUGGGCUACAUGAUCAUGUACUACUUUUACAGAAAUGCAGUGUUUGUGCUUGUUUUAUUUUGGUAUGUGCUCUUUACCGGUUUCUCAUAGACGCCCACAAUCAACCAAUGGGGAGUAGUGUGCUCUACUGUAUAAUCUAUACUUGGGGUUGCCCACAGUUAUUAUUGGAAUUCUUGAUAAAGACAUGGGAAGGACUCUUCUUAGUUACCCUCAGCUUUAUGAGGCUGGCCUCAGAAAGGAGACUUACAACUCUGAAUUGUUUUGUUUAACAAUGAUCGACACUGUCAGGCAAAGAAUUGCUCUUUUCUUCAUCCCCCUCCUUGCAUACUGGGCUACCACCAUUGACGUUUCGAGCCUUGUGAUAUCUGGUUCAUGGUUCGCUGUGAUUUGGGGCACCACUUUUGCAACUGUCGUUUGGGUCAUUGUCUUUGAUUCGCUACCGUCACUUCCCAGUUACCGGUAUGUUCCUAUUUCGUACUGUUUCUGAAUCUCCAAUGUCGCAUAAUGAAAUAUUGAGGCUAACUCUGCUAUAUGCUGAGUAGCUCAUCAAUAGCUUUUUAAAACUUCACCAUCUUAACCGUAAAAU
Momordica charantia (bitter melon) is the source of this 1118-nucleotide long non-coding RNA. RefSeq lists it as uncharacterized. Lineage: Eukaryota; Viridiplantae; Streptophyta; Magnoliopsida; Cucurbitales; Cucurbitaceae. The record is from RefSeq and is a predicted model, not a curated record.